Malus domestica (apple) is the source of this 582-nucleotide long non-coding RNA. RefSeq lists it as uncharacterized. NCBI's taxonomy places the organism in Eukaryota, Viridiplantae, Streptophyta, Magnoliopsida, Rosales, Rosaceae. The record is from RefSeq and is a predicted model, not a curated record.
CAAGAAAGCCCAAAUCACAAAACAACCUCACAGCUCAAAAGUUUCAAACUUUCACGAUUCAAGCACUCAUCUUCUCUCUUGCUUAAUCGAAGACGGAUAUCUGCAUCGAGAAGAGCUUUUGAAGUGUAAAAUACUGAGCGUUCUCUGCUUGAUAUAUACUUUUUGAUCCCUUAUUAAGAUAAUCAGAAGCAAAAGAAGUGAUGGAGAGUGCAAGGAGCGCUAUGAUCAACGGCGGACGUUUCUCUCAGAGGCCCAAUUCUGGGCGUCUGAUUCCCAAGAGGGGUCAGGUGAAGGUGGCUAUUGUUGGGGUUCUGCUUCACUCUUUCUCCUCCGUUUUCUCUGCCAGCAGCCGCCGCGACGGUUGUGAAUCUAGCGAUGCUCAUCACUUCUCUUAGCUGAUGAGAUCAUGUUGAUCAAUCAAUCAGUCCAGUUUUUUUGGUGAAAGAUUUUUACAUUUUUUAUGAGUGAGGGAGAGGGAAGGGUAAAAAGUUUGAGUUCUUACCUUUGUUUCUUGCAACAAAAGGCUGUAAAAAAUUUGUAGUUUGAAGUUUAUAACUGUUGGAAUAUGUUUGUUAACUCUUA